This 63-nucleotide transfer RNA is filed under the name Rattus norvegicus (Norway rat). It matches the Rfam family "tRNA". From Rfam's summary of the family: Transfer RNA (tRNA) molecules are approximately 80 nucleotides in length. The record is from Rfam by way of RNAcentral. Lineage: Eukaryota; Metazoa; Chordata; Mammalia; Rodentia; Muridae.
GGGGAUUUAGCUCAGUGGUAGAGCGCUUGCCUAGCAAGCGCCAGGCCCUGGGUUCAGUCCCCA